UACGGGGGGAGCAAGCGUUGUUCGGAUUUACUGGGCGUAAAGGGCGCGUAGGCGGCUUGGCAAGUGGAUGGUGAAAUCCCUCGGCUUAACCGAGGAACUGCCAUCCAGACUGCUUUGCUUGAGGCCGGGAGAGGUGAGUGGAAUUCCCAGUGUAGCGGUGAAAUGCGUAGAUAUUGGGAGGAACACCAGUGGCGAAGGCGGCUCACUGGACCGGUUCUGACGCUGAGGCGCGAAAGCGUGGGGAGCAAACGGG
RNAcentral lists this ribosomal RNA (253 nucleotides) under uncultured bacterium. RNAcentral's name for it is "partial 16S ribosomal RNA". It matches the Rfam family "Bacterial small subunit ribosomal RNA", at positions 524 to 776 of the family's 1533-position model. The record is from RNAcentral.